This 698-nucleotide ribosomal RNA is filed under the name uncultured bacterium. RNAcentral describes it as "bacterial SSU rRNA". It matches the Rfam family "Bacterial small subunit ribosomal RNA", at positions 134 to 852 of the family's 1533-position model. The record is from RNAcentral.
UACACACGGAUAACAUACCGAAAGGUAUGCUAAUACGGGAUAAUAUAUUUGAGAGGCAUCUCUUAAAUAUCAAAGGUGAGCCAGUACAGGAUGGACCCGCGUCUGAUUAGCUAGUUGGUAAGGUAACGGCUUACCAAGGCGACGAUCAGUAGCCGACCUGAGAGGGUGAUCGGCCACAUUGGAACUGAGACACGGUCCAAACUCCUACGGGAGGCAGCAGUGGGGAAUAUUGCACAAUGGGCGAAAGCCUGAUGCAGCAACGCCGCGUGAGUGAUGAAGGCCUUCGGGUCGUAAAACUCUGUCCUCAAGGAAGAUAAUGACGGUACUUGAGGAGGAAGCCCCGGCUAACUACGUGCCAGCAGCCGCGGUAAUACGUAGGGGGCUAGCGUUAUCCGGAUUUACUGGGCGUAAAGGGUGCGUAGGCGGUCUUUCAAGUCAGGAGUGAAAGGCUACGGCUCAACCGUAGUAAGCUCUUGAAACUGGGAGACUUGAGUGCAGGAGAGGAGAGUGGAAUUCCUAGUGUAGCGGUGAAAUGCGUAGAUAUUAGGAGGAACACCAGUUGCGAAGGCGGCUCUCUGGACUGUAACUGACGCUGAGGCACGAAAGCGUGGGGAGCAAACAGGAUUAGAUACCCUGGUAGUCCACGCUGUAAACGAUGAGUACUAGGUGUCGGGGGUUACCCCCUUCGGUGCCGCAGC